RNAcentral lists this unclassified non-coding RNA (248 nucleotides) under Hevea brasiliensis (rubber tree). The record is from RNAcentral. Lineage: Eukaryota; Viridiplantae; Streptophyta; Magnoliopsida; Malpighiales; Euphorbiaceae.
CAAGAACUUGAAGGACUCAGAUGAGUACACGAAGUUGUGUGAAGAAGAAGAUGCAACACAUUGAGUGGACCUUGUCAUAGUCGAAAUUGUGGGUUGCUUCCUCUGUUUGCUCAACUUAAUAAUGCACUUUUGUCCUGAUUCAGUUGUGGUUUUCUCAUGUCUCUUUGUUACUAAUAAUAAAAUUGGUAACUAGUGUUAAUGUCUAUUCCCGUGUUUUAAUUUUUUUAAAGCGAUUUCAUUGUAUCAAU